UGUCUUCGGGGCGGAGUGAAAUUCUCCACCGGCGGUGAGCGGAAAUAUUUCCGUAAGUCCGCGAACAGGUGUUAAGCCUGCCGAGCCUGUGAGAUUCAGGCACCGACGGUUAUAGUCCGGAUGAAAGAAGAUG
This 133-nucleotide non-coding RNA is filed under the name uncultured Ruminococcus sp. RNAcentral's name for it is "FMN riboswitch (RFN element)". It matches the Rfam family "FMN riboswitch aptamer (RFN element)". From Rfam's summary of the family: The RFN element is a highly conserved domain that is found frequently in the 5'-untranslated regions of prokaryotic mRNAs that encode for flavin mononucleotide (FMN) biosynthesis and transport proteins. This element is a metabolite-dependent riboswitch that directly binds FMN in the absence of proteins. Lineage: Bacteria; Bacillati; Bacillota; Clostridia; Eubacteriales; Oscillospiraceae. The record is from RNAcentral.